Molecule: transfer-messenger RNA, 417 nt
Filed under: Anaerolineae
Lineage: Bacteria; Bacillati; Chloroflexota
Also listed under: 1 other name
Description: CG2-30-64-16 sp001871755 Standard tmRNA
Rfam family: transfer-messenger RNA
About the family: Bacterial tmRNA, also known as 10Sa RNA or SsrA, is named for its dual tRNA and mRNA-like properties.
Source: RNAcentral
GGGGAUGACUGGUUUCGACGGGGCAAAUAGGGCGUAAGCUGCAAGCCGAGGUGCUCCACCCUCGUAAAUCCGGGGCAAAAACAUAACUGCCAACACAGGCAAAGCGUUCACCUUCCCCUUCGCCCGCACCAACGCCAUGGCGUUGGCCGCGUAACGAGGUAGGAUAGGGAACAAACUGGUCGCCGCAGGGUGACCACGGUGCCCUCGAUGGGGCCAGGCGGCAUCGAGGCGCAUUGUCAGAAACCGUAAGGUGCGGCCCGUCGAUGCCGAUAAGCGGGUCUAAGGCUCUCGGCUAGUCGAACUAGUGGACGGUGGUCACUGCCGAACCGUUCGGCGAAACCUGAAUCAGCGGCUAAGCUUGUAGAUGCGUACGUUCGUUUGUUUCGGACCCGGGUUCGACUCCCGGCAUCUCCACUC